RNAcentral lists this ribosomal RNA (1172 nucleotides) under Enterococcus faecium. Its description in RNAcentral is "bacterial SSU rRNA". It matches the Rfam family "Bacterial small subunit ribosomal RNA", at positions 61 to 1206 of the family's 1533-position model. Lineage: Bacteria; Bacillati; Bacillota; Bacilli; Lactobacillales; Enterococcaceae. The record is from RNAcentral.
GUCGAACGCUUCUUUUUCCCCGGAGCUUGCUCCACCGGAAAAAGAAGAGUGGCGAACGGGUGAGUAACACGUGGGUAACCUGCCCAUCAGAAGGGGAUAACACUUGGAAACAGGUGCUAAUACCGUAUAACAAUCAAAACCGCAUGGUUUUGAUUUGAAAGGCGCUUUCGGGUGUCGCUGAUGGAUGGACCCGCGGUGCAUUAGCUAGUUGGUGAGGUAACGGCUCACCAAGGCCACGAUGCAUAGCCGACCUGAGAGGGUGAUCGGCCACAUUGGGACUGAGACACGGCCCAAACUCCUACGGGAGGCAGCAGUAGGGAAUCUUCGGCAAUGGACGAAAGUCUGACCGAGCAACGCCGCGUGAGUGAAGAAGGUUUUCGGAUCGUAAAACUCUGUUGUUAGAGAAGAACAAGGAUGAGAGUAACUGUUCAUCCCUUGACGGUAUCUAACCAGAAAGCCACGGCUAACUACGUGCCAGCAGCCGCGGUAAUACGUAGGUGGCAAGCGUUGUCCGGAUUUAUUGGGCGUAAAGCGAGCGCAGGCGGUUUCUUAAGUCUGAUGUGAAAGCCCCCGGCUCAACCGGGGAGGGUCAUUGGAAACUGGGAGACUUGAGUGCAGAAGAGGAGAGUGGAAUUCCAUGUGUAGCGGUGAAAUGCGUAGAUAUAUGGAGGAACACCAGUGGCGAAGGCGGCUCUCUGGUCUGUAACUGACGCUGAGGCUCGAAAGCGUGGGGAGCAAACAGGAUUAGAUACCCUGGUAGUCCACGCCGUAAACGAUGAGUGCUAAGUGUUGGAGGGUUUCCGCCCUUCAGUGCUGCAGCUAACGCAUUAAGCACUCCGCCUGGGGAGUACGACCGCAAGGUUGAAACUCAAAGGAAUUGACGGGGGCCCGCACAAGCGGUGGAGCAUGUGGUUUAAUUCGAAGCAACGCGAAGAACCUUACCAGGUCUUGACAUCCUUUGACCACUCUAGAGAUAGAGCUUCCCCUUCGGGGGCAAAGUGACAGGUGGUGCAUGGUUGUCGUCAGCUCGUGUCGUGAGAUGUUGGGUUAAGUCCCGCAACGAGCGCAACCCUUAUUGUUAGUUGCCAUCAUUCAGUUGGGCACUCUAGCAAGACUGCCGGUGACAAACCGGAGGAAGGUGGGGAUGACGUCAAAUCAUCAUGCCCCUUAUG